UACGGGGGGGGCAAGCGUUGUUCGGAAUUACUGGGCGUAAAGGGCUCGUAGGCGGCCUACUAAGUCAGACGUGAAAUCCCCCGGCUUAACCUGGGAACUGCGUCUGAUACUGGAAGGCUUGAGUAUGGGAGAGGGAUGUAGAAUUCCAGGUGUAGCGGUGAAAUGCGUAGAUAUCUGGAGGAAUACCGGUGGCGAAGGCGGCAUCCUGGACCAUUACUGACGCUGAGGCGCGAAAGCUAGGGGAGCAAACGGG
RNAcentral lists this ribosomal RNA (253 nucleotides) under uncultured bacterium. Its description in RNAcentral is "partial 16S ribosomal RNA". It matches the Rfam family "Bacterial small subunit ribosomal RNA", at positions 524 to 776 of the family's 1533-position model. The record is from RNAcentral.